AAUUUUGGACAAUGGGGGAAACCCUGAUCUAGCCAUCCCGCGUGUAGGAUGAAGGCCUUCGGGUUGUAAAGUACUUUUGUCAGAGAAGAAAAGGUAUCCCCUAAUACGGGAUACUGCUGACGGUAUCUGCAGAAUAAGCACCUGCUAACUACGUGCCAGCAGCCGCGGUAAUACGUAGGGUGCAAGCGUUAAGCGGAAGUACUGGGCGUAAAGCGUGUGUAGGCGGUUCGGAAUGAAAGAUGUGGAAGACCAGGGCUCAACCUUGCAACUGCAUUUUUAACUGCCGAGCUAGAGUAUGUCAGAGGGGGGUAGAAUUCCACGUGUAGCAGUGAAAUGCGUAGAUACGUGGAGGAAUACCGAUGGCGAAGGCAGCCCCCUGGGAUAAUACCGACGCUCAGACACGAAAGAGUGGGGAGCAAACAGG
RNAcentral lists this ribosomal RNA (424 nucleotides) under uncultured bacterium. RNAcentral describes it as "partial 16S ribosomal RNA". It matches the Rfam family "Bacterial small subunit ribosomal RNA", at positions 360 to 776 of the family's 1533-position model. The record is from RNAcentral.